GCACAAGCGGUGGAGUAUGUGGUUUAAUUCGAUGCAACGCGAAGAACCUUACCUGGUCUUGACAUCCCGGAGACCCUUAGGAAACUAGGGGGUGCUUCCAUCUGGAAGAAUCUGGAGACAGGUGCUGCAUGGCUGUCGUCAGCUCGUGUCGUGAGAUGUUGGGUUAAGUCCCGCAACGAGCGCAACCCUUGCCUUUAGUUGCCAGCAGUUCGGCUGGGCACUCUAAAGGGACUGCCGGUGUUAAACCGGAGGAAGGUGGGGAUGACGUCAAGUCCUCAUGGCCUUUAUGACCAGGGCUACACACGUACUACAAUGGCCGAUACAAAGGGCAGCGACACUGCGAGGUGAAGCCAAUCCCGUAAAAUCGGUCUCAGUCCGGAUUGGAGUCUGCAACUCGACUCCAUGAAGUUGGAAUCGCUAGUAAUCGUGGAUCUAGCAUGCCACGGUGAAUACGUUCCCGGGCCUU
RNAcentral lists this ribosomal RNA (466 nucleotides) under uncultured Desulfobulbus sp. Its description in RNAcentral is "bacterial SSU rRNA". It matches the Rfam family "Bacterial small subunit ribosomal RNA", at positions 923 to 1382 of the family's 1533-position model. Lineage: Bacteria; Pseudomonadati; Thermodesulfobacteriota; Desulfobulbia; Desulfobulbales; Desulfobulbaceae. The record is from RNAcentral.